Molecule: ribosomal RNA, 1458 nt
Filed under: uncultured bacterium
Lineage: Bacteria
Description: 16S ribosomal RNA
Rfam family: Bacterial small subunit ribosomal RNA
Source: RNAcentral
GACGAACGCUGGCGGCGUGCUUAAUGAAUGCGAGUCGAGCGAGAACCGGACUGAGGAAACCUUCGGGUGGAAUCAGUCUGGGGAGAGCGGCAAACGGGUGAGUAACACGUGGGUAACCUGCCCCUCAGACGGGGAUAAUUCGCCGAAAGGCGGACUAAUACCCGAUGGUGAUGUGCCAACACAUGUUGAUACAUCUAAAGGCUCCGGUGCUGAGGGAGGGGUCCGCGGCCGAUUAGCUUGUUGGUAGGGUAACGGCCUACCAAGGCUUCGAUCGGUAGCCGGUCUGAGAGGAUGACCGGUCACACUGGGACUGAGACAUGGUCCAGACUCCUACGGGAGUUAGCAUCAGGGAAUCUUGCGCAAUGGGCGAAAGGGUGACGCAGCGACGCCGCGUGGGUGAUGAAGGCCUGCGGGUCGUAAAGCCCUGUCGGGAGGGAAGAAACAGCACCUUCGGGUGCUUUGACUGUACCUCCGGAGGAAGCCCCGGCUAAUUACGUGCCAGCAGCCGCGGUAAUACGUAAGGGGCCAGCGUUGUCCGGAAUUACUGGGCGUAAAGAGCACGUAGGCGGUUAGGAAAGCGAUAGGUGAAAUCCCCCGGCUCAACCGAGGAACUGCUUAUCGAACUGCCUGACUAGAGCACGGGAGAGGGCACUGGAAUUCCUGGUGUAGCGGUGGAAUGCGUAUAUAUCAGGAGGAACACCGGUGGCGAAAGGCUGGUGCCUGGAACGUUGCUGACGCUAAGGUGCGAAAGCCAGGGGAACAAACGGGAUUAGAUACCCCGGUAGUCCUGGCCGUAAACGAUGGACACUAGGUGUUGGAGGUUCGACCYCUUCAGUGCUGUUAAGCUAACGCGUUAAGUGUCCCGCCUGGGAGUACGGUCGCAAGGCUGAAACUCAAAGGAAUUGACGGGGGCCCGCACGAGCGGUGGAGCAUGUGGGUCAAUGGGAUGAUACGCCGAGAACCUUACCAGGGCUUGACAUGACCCUGAUCCCCUGCGAAAGCAGGUCUUCUGGGCAACCAGACAGGGCCACAGGUGGUGCAUGGUUGUCGACAGCUCGUGUCGUGCGAUGCUGGGUUAAGUCCCGCAACGAGCGCAACCCUCGCCGGAUGUUGCCAGCGGUUAGGCCGGGCACUCUUCCGGGACUGCCGGAGUAAUCCGGAGGAAGGGGGGGAUGACGUCAAAUCUGCAUGCCCCUUAUGUCCUGGGCUGCACACGUGCUACAAUGGCGAGUACAAAGGGUCGCGAAGCCGCGAGGCCCAGCUAAUCCCCAAAAACUCGUCCCAGUUCGGAUUGGAGUCUGCAACUCGACUCCAUGAAGUCGGAAUCGCUAGUAACCGUGGAUCAGCAAUGCCGCGGUGAAUACGUUCCCGGGCCUUGUACACACCGCCCGUCAAGUCACGGGAGCCGACAGCACCCCAAGUCCGCUACGGCGGCCCAAGGUGAGGUCAGUGUCUGGG